CACGGUGGUCUAGCGGUUAUAACGCUGGCCUUGUAAUCCUGGGGUCUCGGGUUCGAUUCCCGGCGGUG
Non-coding RNA from Zootermopsis nevadensis, 68 nucleotides. The record is from Rfam. NCBI's taxonomy places the organism in Eukaryota, Metazoa, Arthropoda, Insecta, Blattodea, Termopsidae.